GAGAGCACAGUACGAUGAAAGUUGUAAGCUGUGUUCGGGGGGGAGUUAUUGUCUAUCGUUGGCCUCUAUGGUAGAACCCGUCGGGGAGGCCUGAGAG
This is a non-coding RNA of Hordeum vulgare subsp. vulgare (domesticated barley), 97 nucleotides long. NCBI's taxonomy places the organism in Eukaryota, Viridiplantae, Streptophyta, Magnoliopsida, Poales, Poaceae. The record is from Rfam.